AAUCAACGCUGGCGGCGUGCCUCAGACAUGCAAGUCGAACGAUUAAAGCUCUCUUCGGAGAGUGUAUAGAGUGGCGCACGGGUGAGUAACACGUAAGUAAUCUACCCUCGAGUGGGAAGUAACGUCCGGAACGGACGCUAAUACCGCAUAAUGUAGCGGCGACCGCAAGGUGACAGUUAGUUAAAGGAAGAAAUUCGCUUGAGGAGGAGCUUGCGGCAGAUUAGUC
RNAcentral lists this ribosomal RNA (226 nucleotides) under uncultured bacterium. RNAcentral's name for it is "partial 16S ribosomal RNA". It matches the Rfam family "Bacterial small subunit ribosomal RNA", at positions 32 to 246 of the family's 1533-position model. The record is from RNAcentral.